AGAGUUUGAUCCUGGCUCAGAUUGAACGCUGGCGGCAGGCCUAACACAUGCAAGUCGAGCGGGGUUUUCGGACCUAGCGGCGGACGGGCGAGUAAUGCGUAGGAAGCUACCCGAUAGAGGGGGAUACCAGUUGGAAACGACUGUUAAUACCGCAUAAUGUCUACGGACCAAAGUGUGGGACCUUCGGGCCACAUGCUAUCGGAUGCGCCUACGUGGGAUUAGCUAGUUGGUGAGGUAAUGGCUCACCAAGGCGACGAUCUCUAGCUGGUUUGAGAGGAUGAUCAGUCACACUGGAACUGAGACACGGUCCAGACUCCUACGGGAGGCAGCAGUGGGGAAUAUUGGACAAUGGGCGCAAGCCUGAUCCAGCCAUGCCGCGUGUGUGAAGAAGGCCUUCGGGUUGUAAAGCACUUUCAGCGAGGAGGAAGGGUUGGUAGUUAAUAGCUGCUAAUUUUGACGUUACUCGCAGAAGAAGCACCGGCUAACUCUGUGCCAGCAGCCGCGGUAAUACAGAGGGUGUAAGCGUUAAUCGGAAUUACUGGGCGUAAAGCGCACGCAGGCGGUUGGUUAAGUCAGAUGUGAAAG
Molecule: ribosomal RNA, 585 nt
Filed under: uncultured bacterium
Lineage: Bacteria
Description: bacterial SSU rRNA
Rfam family: Bacterial small subunit ribosomal RNA
Source: RNAcentral